Molecule: non-coding RNA, 619 nt
Organism: Myodes glareolus (Bank vole)
Lineage: Eukaryota; Metazoa; Chordata; Mammalia; Rodentia; Cricetidae
Source: RefSeq, a predicted model, not a curated record
GGCUAUUGUUGUAGAAAUGGUUGUUACACAUGGGCUGUACAACUUAUUCUUUUUUCACCAAGGCUGACCUGGAUACAGCUCUGCUGAGUUUCAAUUCUGCCAAAAACACACCAACACUGAGACUCUAACAUUGGAUAUUCCCUGUGAUGAUUAUCCUGAAACCUGGAUACUAAUUGUCUACAUUUGAUCAUUUCCUUUGUGGAAAAGGAAGGUCCACCCUUAGUCUUGACUACAACUUCUGGUGGCAGCCUAUAUAAAUGACAUGAAAGAAGGAAGAUUUUUGCUCUUUGUCUUCUUGACUUUGUUUUGCUGGCCAGUCCAUUCCUUCACUGACAUUACAGCCUACUUUUUUAGGAUUCUGCUGUAUACUGAAGACCACUGGAGAUAAUUAGCCUCAUGGACUGAACAAUUACUAGAUUCUUGGACUAUCCUUUGUUAGACCAUCAUUGUUGGACUCGCUGUACUACAGUUGGCUCUAUACCUUCAAUCAACUGAGCUGUCUCUCUGAAGUUGACUCCUGGACAUUCUUUCUGUCAUGUUCAAUGCUGUCAUAACCCUGCUCAACACUUCUACUUUCUUUGUCCUCACUGCCCAGUUGUUAACCCCGAGGUCACCACAA